CAGAGACUGCAAGCGUUAUUCGGAUUCGCUGGGCGUAAAGGGUGCGCAGGCGGCCAAGUGUGUGAGGCGUGAAAGCCUGGAGCUUAACUCCAGAAUUGCACCUCAAACUACAUGGCUAGAGCAUUGGAGAGGGUAGCGGAAUUCACGGUGUAGCAGUGAAAUGCGUAGAUAUCGUGAGGAACACCAGAGGCGAAGGCGGCUACCUGGACAAUUGCUGACGCUCAGGCACGAAAGCGUGGGGAGCAAAAGGGAUUAGAUACCCCUGUAGUCCACGCCCUAAACGGUGCACACUAGGUCUUGGCGGAUUCGACCCCACCAGGGCCCAAGCUAACGCGUUAAGUGUGCCGCCUGAGGACUACGGCCGCAAGGCUA
This 372-nucleotide ribosomal RNA is filed under the name uncultured organism. Its description in RNAcentral is "bacterial SSU rRNA". It matches the Rfam family "Bacterial small subunit ribosomal RNA", at positions 526 to 896 of the family's 1533-position model. The record is from RNAcentral.